RNAcentral lists this ribosomal RNA (985 nucleotides) under Bacillus licheniformis. RNAcentral's name for it is "bacterial SSU rRNA". It matches the Rfam family "Bacterial small subunit ribosomal RNA", at positions 56 to 1021 of the family's 1533-position model. The record is from RNAcentral. Lineage: Bacteria; Bacillati; Bacillota; Bacilli; Caryophanales; Bacillaceae.
UGCAAGUCGAGCGGACCGACGGGAGCUUGCUCCCUUAGGUCAGCGGCGGACGGGUGAGUAACACGUGGGUAACCUGCCUGUAAGACUGGGAUAACUCCGGGAAACCGGGGCUAAUACCGGAUGCUUGAUUGAACCGCAUGGUUCAAUCAUAAAAGGUGGCUUUCAGCUACCACUUACAGAUGGACCCGCGGCGCAUUAGCUAGUUGGUGAGGUAACGGCUCACCAAGGCGACGAUGCGUAGCCGACCUGAGAGGGUGAUCGGCCACACUGGGACUGAGACACGGCCCAGACUCCUACGGGAGGCAGCAGUAGGGAAUCUUCCGCAAUGGACGAAAGUCUGACGGAGCAACGCCGCGUGAGUGAUGAAGGUUUUCGGAUCGUAAAACUCUGUUGUUAGGGAAGAACAAGUACCGUUCGAAUAGGGCGGUACCUUGACGGUACCUAACCAGAAAGCCACGGCUAACUACGUGCCAGCAGCCGCGGUAAUACGUAGGUGGCAAGCGUUGUCCGGAAUUAUUGGGCGUAAAGCGCGCGCAGGCGGUUUCUUAAGUCUGAUGUGAAAGCCCCCGGCUCAACCGGGGAGGGUCAUUGGAAACUGGGGAACUUGAGUGCAGAAGAGGAGAGUGGAAUUCCACGUGUAGCGGUGAAAUGCGUAGAGAUGUGGAGGAACACCAGUGGCGAAGGCGACUCUCUGGUCUGUAACUGACGCUGAGGCGCGAAAGCGUGGGGAGCGAACAGGAUUAGAUACCCUGGUAGUCCACGCCGUAAACGAUGAGUGCUAAGUGUUAGAGGGUUUCCGCCCUUUAGUGCUGCAGCAAACGCAUUAAGCACUCCGCCUGGGGAGUACGGUCGCAAGACUGAAACUCACAGGAAUUGACGGGGGCCCGCACAAGCGGUGGAGCAUGUGGUUUAAUUCGAAGCAACGCGAAGAACCUUACCAGGUCUUGACAUCCUCUGACAACCCUAGAGAUAGGGCUUCCCCUUC